This 497-nucleotide ribosomal RNA is filed under the name uncultured bacterium. RNAcentral's name for it is "partial 16S ribosomal RNA". It matches the Rfam family "Bacterial small subunit ribosomal RNA", at positions 28 to 507 of the family's 1533-position model. The record is from RNAcentral.
GAUGAACGCUGGCGGCGUGCCUAAUACAUGCAAGUCGAGCGAACAGACGAGGAGCUUGCUCCUCUUACGUUAGCGGCGGACGGGUGAGUAACACGUGGAUAACCCACCUAUAAGACUGGGAUAACUUCGGGAAACCGGAGCUAAUACCGGAUAAUAUAUUGAACCGCAUGGUUCAAUAGUGAAAGACGGUUUUGCUGUCACUUAUAGAUGGAUCCGCGCCGCAUUAGCUAGUUGGUAAGGUAACGGCUUACCAAGGCAACGAUGCGUAGCCGACCUGAGAGGGUGAUCGGCCACACUGGAACUGAGACACGGUCCAGACUCCUACGGGAGGCAGCAGUAGGGAAUCUUGCGCAAUGGGCGAAAGCUUGACGGAGCAACGCCGCGUGAGUGAUGAAGGUCUUCGGAUCGUAAAACUCUGUUAUUAGGGAAGAACAAAUGUGUAAGUAACUAUGCACGUCUUGACGGUACCUAAUCAGAAAGCCACGGCUAACUACGUG